UAUAUUGCAAUUACAGUUACUGCAAUAAAUUUUUGUGCAGUUAAAACUUUCUGCUUGAUUAUUAAACUCUGAUUGAAAAACUGGUUUAACAAGAGCUAAUGAGUCAGCUCUAGGCAAUAACCAUACUCACUAAUACAGCGCAGCGAAUAUUCCUGAAAGACAAGUUAUCUUGUCAAUUGCAGUGCAAGAGUUAAAUUGUGAUUUAAGAGAGAGCUUUUAUAUGAAGUCAAAACUUCAAAAGAAACUAAUCUAAAGAAAUAACUACUAACAGGUUUGCUUCUAAUUUCAUGCCAGUGUGGAUAGUUAGUUAUUAGGACUAGCAUCCUGCACUGGCACAUGAUUGGCAAAGAAUGUUUAAUAAAUUAUAUAUUUUUAGCAGAAGCAAGCAAAGAUUAUUUUUGACAGAAGCAAAAUUAGUUGCAAGUUCUAAGAUUGUUCAGCAAAGAAAGCUUGAAGCACAAAGAAGAUAAGAAACCGUUUAAUGAUAAAAUUACAUCAAUGCAGAAAGAAUCUGGAAAACAGAAUUUUAGUUAAAACGUCCAAUGUCUCGAUUAAAAAUUUUGCGAUGAAAAGAUUCAGGUGGAAGCGGUCAGUCGUCACCUUUGAAAGAAAGAUCAUCAGAGCCAUCUUUGGCGCAUUUCAAGAAAGGGGAUGCUGGCGAAUCAGAUAUAAUGUUGAGCUCUAUGGAUUCUAUUAGAAUUAUGUAAGAAGUGUACUAAAUUAAUAAAUUUUUUUAAAUGACCUUUAAUUGAAUUAAAUUAGGUUUUAUCAUUUACUGAAGCUCAUUCUUAUUACAAUACAAUUUUUUUAUUUUUAGGACCCAAUAUUUUCAGGUGUAAAAAUUUACGAAAAUCAUAUUACAUAAUGGAAUUGUCAAGAAAUGUAAAACAAUAAUAGAGUAAGUUUAU
This is a long non-coding RNA of Parasteatoda tepidariorum (common house spider), 908 nucleotides long. RefSeq lists it as uncharacterized. The record is from RefSeq and is a predicted model, not a curated record. NCBI's taxonomy places the organism in Eukaryota, Metazoa, Arthropoda, Arachnida, Araneae, Theridiidae.